RNAcentral lists this ribosomal RNA (455 nucleotides) under uncultured Planctomycetota bacterium. Its description in RNAcentral is "bacterial SSU rRNA". It matches the Rfam family "Bacterial small subunit ribosomal RNA", at positions 346 to 796 of the family's 1533-position model. Lineage: Bacteria; Pseudomonadati; Planctomycetota. The record is from RNAcentral.
GUGCAGCAGUCGAGAAUCUUCGGCAAUGGGCGAAAGCCUGACCGAGCGACGCCGCGUGCGGGAUGAAGGCCCUCGGGUUGUAAACCGCUGUCGUUGGGGAGGAAAUGCAAAAGGGCUAUCCCUUUUGUUUGACCGAUCCAAGGAGGAAGUACGGGCUAAGUUCGUGCCAGCAGCCGCGGUAAGACGAACCGUACGAACGUUAUUCGGAAUUACUAGGCUUAGAGGGUGCGUAGGCUGCACGGAAAGUUGGGUGUGAAAGCCCUCAGCUCAACUGAGGAAUUGCAUCCAAAACUGCCGUGCUUGAGGGAGACAGAGGUGAGCGGAACUCAAGGUGGAGCGGUGAAAUGCGUUGAUAUCUUGAGGAACACCGGUGGCGAAGGCGGCUCACUGGGUCUCUUCUGACGCUGAGGCACGAAAGCUAAGGUAGCAAACGGGAUUAGAUACCCCCGUAGUCC